GCCGUGGACUUCCACGGCUCGUCUGAAAUGCCUGAGUGUACCCCGCUUUGCGGCGUAUUCGGUGUGAUAAAUCUUCACCGGAGUUGAUCCAUUUCGGGUCGCGUCUUAAGGAGUGUGGCUCUAUGCUUCCAACCGUCUCUGUUUGGGACAAUCUCUGACAAUUUGACCUCAAAUCGGGUGGGACUACCCGCUGAACUUAA
This 200-nucleotide unclassified non-coding RNA is filed under the name soil metagenome. RNAcentral describes it as "partial contains internal transcribed spacer 2 and large subunit ribosomal RNA". The record is from RNAcentral.